AUUGAACGCUGGCGGCAGGCUUAACACAUGCAAGUCGAGCGGGGAAAGGUAGCUUGCUCCCUGACCUAGCGGCGGACGGGUGAGUAAUGCUUAGGAAUCUGCCUAUUAGUGGGGGACAACAUCUCGAAAGGGAUGCUAAUACCGCAUACGUCCUACGGGAGAAAGCAGGGGACCUUCGGGCCUUGCGCUAAUAGAUGAGCCUAAGUCGGAUUAGCUAGUUGGUGGGGUAAAGGCCUACCAAGGCGACGAUCUGUAGCGGGUCUGAGAGGAUGAUCCGCCACACUGGGACUGAGACACGGCCCAGACUCCUACGGGAGGCAGCAGUGGGGAAUAUUGGACAAUGGGGGGAAACCUGAUCCAGCCAUGCCGCGGGUGGGAAGAAGGCCUUUUGGUUGUAAAGCACUUUAAGCGAGGAGGAGGCUACCGAGAUUAAUACUCUUGGAUAGUGGACGUUACUCGCAGAAUAAGCACCGGCUAACUCUGUG
RNAcentral lists this ribosomal RNA (485 nucleotides) under uncultured bacterium. RNAcentral describes it as "partial 16S ribosomal RNA". It matches the Rfam family "Bacterial small subunit ribosomal RNA", at positions 30 to 507 of the family's 1533-position model. The record is from RNAcentral.